This 122-nucleotide ribosomal RNA is filed under the name uncultured bacterium. RNAcentral's name for it is "partial 16S ribosomal RNA". It matches the Rfam family "Bacterial small subunit ribosomal RNA", at positions 1367 to 1500 of the family's 1533-position model. The record is from RNAcentral.
UACGUUCCCGGGCCUUGUACACACCGCCCGUCACACCACGAAAGCCCGUUGCAACAGAAGUCCUGGCCUAGCCAGGCCCAAGUUGUGAUUGGUGAUUGGGGUGAAGUCGUAAACAAGGUACC